UACGGGGGGGGCAAGCGUUGUUCGGAAUUACUGGGCGUAAAGGGCUCGUAGGUGGCCAACUAAGUCGGACGUGAAAUCCCUCGGCUUAACCGGGGAACUGCGUCCGAUACUGGUUGGCUUGAGUUCGGGAGAGGGAUGCGGAAUUCCAGGUGUAGCGGUGAAAUGCGUAGAUAUCUGGAGGAACACCGGUGGCGAAGGCGGCAUCCUGGACCGACACUGACGCUGAGGAGCGAAAGCCAGGGGAGCAAACGGG
RNAcentral lists this ribosomal RNA (253 nucleotides) under uncultured bacterium. RNAcentral's name for it is "partial 16S ribosomal RNA". It matches the Rfam family "Bacterial small subunit ribosomal RNA", at positions 524 to 776 of the family's 1533-position model. The record is from RNAcentral.